UUGCUAGAGGUGAGAUUAUGGGAUUUACUGAAGACUAACUCUGCGAAAGCAUUUGCCAAGGAUGUUUUCACUAAUCAAGACCGAAGGUUAGGGGAUCGAAAACGAUCAGAUCCCGUUGUAGUCUUAACAGUAAACCAUGCCGACUAGGGAUCGGGCGGUGUUAUUUUUUUGAAUCGCUCGGCACCUUACGAGAAAUCAAAGUCUUUGGGUUUUGGGGGGAGUAUGGUCGCAAGGCUGAAACUUAAAGGAAUCGACGGAAGGGCACCACCAGGAGUGGAGCCUGCGGCUUAAUUGGACUCAACACGGGGAAACUCACCAGGUCCAGACAAUAUAAGGAUUGACAGAUUGAUAGCUCUUUCUUGAUUUAUUGGGUGGUGGUGCAUGGCCGUUCUUAGUUGGUGGAGUGAUUUGUCUGGUUAAUUCCGAUAACGAAGGAGACCUUAACUUGCUAAAUAGCCAGGCAGGCCUUUGUAGGUCGCCGUCUUCUUAGAGGGACUAUCAGCAUCUAGAUGAUGGAAGUUUGAUGCAAUAACAGGUCUGUGAUGCUUUUAGAUGUUUUGGGCCGCACGCGCGCUACACUGACAGAGCCAGCGAGUUUAUAACCUUGGCCGGAAGGUUUGGGUAGUCGAGGGAAAUUGCGUGGAUUAGGUGAAGAAUCAUUACAAUUCUUGCUUUUAGUAAGGGAAUUUCUAGUAAGUGUGAGUCAUCAGCUCGCGUUGAUUACGUCCCUGCCUGUAUAACACAUGCGCC
This 750-nucleotide ribosomal RNA is filed under the name uncultured eukaryote. RNAcentral's name for it is "bacterial SSU rRNA". It matches the Rfam family "Eukaryotic small subunit ribosomal RNA", at positions 902 to 1673 of the family's 1831-position model. The record is from RNAcentral.